UUAAGUCCCAUAACGAGCGCAACCCUUAUCGUUAGUUGCCAGCGGGUUAAGCCGGGACUCUAGCGAGACUGCCACCGUAAGGUGAGAGGAAGGUGGGGAUGACGUCAAAUCAGCACGGCCCUUAUGUCCAGGGCUACACACGUGUUACAAUGGCCGAUACAAAGGGCAGCUACCGGGCGACCGGAUGCUAAUCUCUAAAGUCGGUCCCAGUUCGGAUUGGAGUCUGCAACCCGACUCCAUGAAGUGGGAUUCGCUAGUAAUCGCGCAUCAGCCAUGGCGCGGUGAAUACGUUCCCGGGCCUU
RNAcentral lists this ribosomal RNA (302 nucleotides) under uncultured Sphingobacteriales bacterium. RNAcentral's name for it is "bacterial SSU rRNA". It matches the Rfam family "Bacterial small subunit ribosomal RNA", at positions 1080 to 1382 of the family's 1533-position model. Lineage: Bacteria; Pseudomonadati; Bacteroidota; Sphingobacteriia; Sphingobacteriales. The record is from RNAcentral.